UUAUUGGGCGUAAGGGCUCGUAGGUGGUUGAUCGCGUCGGAAGUGUAAUCUUGGGGCUUAACCCUGAGCGUGCUUUCGAUACGGGUUGACUCGAGGAAGGUAGGGGAGAAUGGAAUUCCUGGUGGAGCGGUGGAAUGCGCAGAUAUCAGGAGGAACACCAGUGGCGAAGGCGGCUCUCUGGGCCUUUCCUGACGCUGAGGAGCGAAAGCGUGGGGAGCGAACGGGCUUAGAUACCCUGGUAGUCCACGCUGUAAACGGUGGGUACUAGGUGUGGGGUCCAUUCCACGGGUUCCGUGCCGUAGCUAACGCUUUAAGUACCCCGCCUGGGGAGUACGGCCGCAAGGCUAAAACUCAAAGGAAUUGACGGGGCCCCGCACAAGCGGCGGAGCAUGCGGAUUAAUUCGAUGCAACGCGUAGAACCUUACCUGGGUUUGACAUGGAUCGGGAGUGCUCAGAGAUGGGUGUGCCUCUUUUGGGGUCGGUUCACAGGUGGUGCAUGGCUGUCGUCAGCUCGUGUCGUGAGAUGUUGGGUUAAGUCCCGCAACGAGCGCAACCCUUGUUCACUGUUGCCAGCACGUUAUGGUGGGGACUCAGUGGAGACCGCCGGGGUCAACUCGGAGGAAGGUGGGGAUGACGUCAAGUCAUCAUGCCCCUUAUGUCCAGGGCUUCACGCAUGCUACAAUGGCUGGUACAGAGAGUGGCGAGCCUGUGAGGGUGAGCGAAUCUCGGAAAGCCGGUCUCAGUUCGGAUUGGGGUCUGCAACUCGACCUCAUGAAGUCGGAGUCGCUAGUAAUCGCAGAUCANCAACGCUGCGGUGAAUACGUUCC
RNAcentral lists this ribosomal RNA (827 nucleotides) under uncultured Propionibacterium sp. RNAcentral's name for it is "SSU rRNA". It matches the Rfam family "Bacterial small subunit ribosomal RNA", at positions 551 to 1374 of the family's 1533-position model. Lineage: Bacteria; Bacillati; Actinomycetota; Actinomycetes; Propionibacteriales; Propionibacteriaceae. The record is from RNAcentral.